CUGGGUGCGGUGGCUCAGGACUGUAAUUCCAGCUCCAUGAGAGGAUUGCUUGAGGCCAGGAGUUUGAGACCAGCCUGAACAACAUAAUAGACUGGGAGCUCCAUGAGGUCCGAGACAACCAGAAGACUCCCAGCUCAGCAGAGACUGGCUAUGGCAAUCAGUAACUAUUUGUUGAAUAGGACAUAAUAGAAGAGCUGAAGAAUUUUAAACAAGUCACCACCAGUCCAGUGGAUUCCUCAAAGCAAACCUGUAAAUCUCGGCAUGAGUUGGAUUUAAGGCAGUACAUUUUCAGCUCCUGAAAAUUUGAACAGUUUCUCAAGAGAACAACUUGAAACAGAAAGGCAAGGAUGUAGAUGUGGUUGUAGAAGGUGAUGUCUAAGGCCACCAAACUGUCCACUGUGAAGAUAAACCGUGCAUGUUUAGUAGGAGGUGGCUCCCCUUCCCUGUGGGGAGUCCCACUGCUUCCCUGGCCUGGGUGUUCUCUGCUGGUAGAUGUUAUUGACAAAAUAAGCAAAGUCCUCUGAUUCUGAGAAUUAGAGUUUAUGAUUGCUCUAGAUUGCCUCUGCCAUGCUAUUUAAAGUCCUGCUUUAUUGUCUGACAUGAGCUCGGCAUCUAUGAGGACUUGUCCAGUGCACAAAGUACAAUCGCCACUGAAAGAUAUCACCAGCACAUCUUGUCACUGUGCUGUAGCGAGCUGGGCAGUACAAUGAUGUUGGCAGGAUCCUGUUUAGGUGGAGGAUGGCCACCUGGGCAUCAAGAAUCUUCUACCUUGAUUCCACAUUGAUUCCCCAAAGUGGGCUUCAGACAGCUCUUCACUUACGUCUUCUGAUUAAAGCAGCAGACGGGGUCCCAGCUAGAGAAAAGUUCUGGGAGCAGGAGAGGUGUUGGUGGCUUUAAAACCAGGGGUGAAGAUUGAAUUAGGAGGUUAGGCAGGAGUAGGAUCAAAGGCUUAGAAAAUGCUUGUUUCCUUCUAUUAUUCUUAUGAGAGCUGAUAAGGGGCUUUCAGUUUUGGGGGAGAACCUUGGAAGAGAAUGAGGGAAUUUAAUCAACUAGCGGGACCUUUCCAAUUUAUAUUUCCCAGUGUUUAUUGGAUGAUACGUUUGCCUAAUAAGUUAAAGCUUCCAAAAAUAGAAAGGAAAGCUUGGUGACACUAAGCUCUGGCAUGCUGUCAUCUUCUGGCUAGGGGUCUUGUGCUUCUGUUUUUCUAUUUCUGACCAAGGACAUAAAAUGUGUUGUGACCUCUCAGAUAAUGCUAUGGUAUCAUGCCCAAACAGUAACUAACCAGAGUGGAGUUUUUACAGGUAAAAAAGUAUUGAAUAGCUCAGCAACAGGGAGGAUUUCAUGAUAAAUUGCUUUUUCAGAAAAUGACAAGGGGACAGACACUUGCGGUUCUUCCAUUGAGAGCCUUAAGGAAGUUAAGCGAACUCUGCUCACCCCUUCAAGUAAUGAUGACCCAUCAGAUUGUGGUCAUAACCAGUAGCAUCUGAGCCACCCCUAACCUCUCUGGGCCCCAGAUUCCUUGUUAAGUUAAAUGAGGUGACUUCCCAGCUUACCAUUCUAGGGGUUCCUGAGGAGUUAAAAAUGAAGGAGAAAAUGCAACAUGUACCAAGUGAGCAAGAGCUCAAGGCUUAUCUCUGGCACGAAAGUGACCGCUAUCCAUUAGAGAGGUGCUUGCUCUAGAUUUCCUUUAGGAAAUGCAAACAUUGAAUUCUGACCUUCAGGACCCAAGCCCCAGCUUGCAUCUAUUCUAUACACUUUCUGUUAUUUGUUAGGGCUCACAAGGAACAGCUAUUUUUUUUAGAGAUGGAGUCUCACUCUGUCUUUAUUCUGCCUACCACACUCAUCUUUUCUUUCAUCUGUCUCCCAGGCUGGAGUGCAGUGGUGCCAUCUCAGCUCACUGCAAUCUCCACCUCCUGGGUUCAAGCAAUUCUCCUGUCUCAGCCUCCUGAGUAUCUAGGACUACAGGCGUGUGCCAUCAUGCCCGGCUAAUUUUUAGUAUUUUUAGUAGAGGCGGGGUUUCCACCAUAUUGGCCAGGCUGGUCUCGAACUCCUG
Molecule: non-coding RNA, 2053 nt
Filed under: Pongo abelii (Sumatran orangutan)
Lineage: Eukaryota; Metazoa; Chordata; Mammalia; Primates; Hominidae
Source: RNAcentral